This 253-nucleotide ribosomal RNA is filed under the name uncultured bacterium. Its description in RNAcentral is "partial 16S ribosomal RNA". It matches the Rfam family "Bacterial small subunit ribosomal RNA", at positions 524 to 776 of the family's 1533-position model. The record is from RNAcentral.
UACGAAGGGGGCUAGCGUUGCUCGGAAUUACUGGGCGUAAAGAGCGCGCAGGCGGUCGUUCAAGUCGAGUGUGAAAGCCCCCGGCUCAACUGGGGAGGGUCACUCGAUACUGAUCGACUCGAAGGCAGGAGAGGGAAGCGGAAUUCCCGGUGUAGUGGUGAAAUGCGUAGAUAUCGGGAGGAACACCAGUGGCGAAGGCGGCUUUCUGGCCUGUUCUUGACGCUGAGGCGCGAAAGCUAGGGUAGCAAACGGG